CUCUUCCUAUUAUCAUCAGAUUUGUAUCCAGUGGUCCGCUCAAUUCUUGAAUUGUAGCGUUGAUUUCUGCGAUAGUUCAAUGGCGAUGAGUAGUAUCUUACACUACCAUGUAUAUGGUGCUACCCUAUUGACAAAUCUCAGAGUAAUCAUACUUCUUGAGCCUGAGCUCGCUUCGGCUGAGCUCGGUUACGGAUACUAUAAGGCGUCAUAUUCCACCUCUUUUCACUGACGGCCGUCGGCUUAUGAAGUUAAAGAAAAACCAUGACAUGCCUACAUUA
RNAcentral lists this small nuclear RNA (278 nucleotides) under Blumeria hordei DH14. RNAcentral's name for it is "a. fumigatus sRNA Afu_309". It matches the Rfam family "A. fumigatus sRNA Afu_309". Lineage: Eukaryota; Fungi; Ascomycota; Leotiomycetes; Helotiales; Erysiphaceae. The record is from Rfam by way of RNAcentral.